This 109-nucleotide non-coding RNA is filed under the name Geobacillus sp. RNAcentral's name for it is "SAM-I sequence". It matches the Rfam family "SAM riboswitch aptamer (S box leader)". Rfam says of the family: The SAM riboswitch is found upstream of a number of genes which code for proteins involved in methionine or cysteine biosynthesis in Gram-positive bacteria. The record is from RNAcentral. Lineage: Bacteria; Bacillati; Bacillota; Bacilli; Caryophanales; Anoxybacillaceae.
CUCUUAUCAAGAGAGGUGGAGGGAUGUGCCAAUGAAGCCCGGCAACCGUCAGCGCGUGCGCUGAAAUGGUGCCAAUUCACACAAAGCGGCCUGCUUUGAGAGAUAAGAG